This 495-nucleotide ribosomal RNA is filed under the name uncultured bacterium. RNAcentral's name for it is "partial 16S ribosomal RNA". It matches the Rfam family "Bacterial small subunit ribosomal RNA", at positions 28 to 507 of the family's 1533-position model. The record is from RNAcentral.
GACGAACACUGGCGGCGUGCCUAAUACAUGCAAGUAGAACGCUGAAGGAGGAGCUUGCUUCUCUGGAUGAGUUGCGAACGGGUGAGUAACGCGUAGGUAACCUGCCUGGUAGCGGGGGAUAACUAUUGGAAACGAUAGCUAAUACCGCAUAAGAGUAGAUGUUGCAUGACAUUUGCUUAAAAGGUGCAAUUGCAUCACUACCAGAUGGACCUGCGUUGUAUUAGCUAGUUGGUGGGGUAACGGCUUACCAAGGCGACGAUACAUAGCCGACCUGAGAGGGUGAUCGGCCACACUGGGACUGAGACACGGCCCAGACUCCUACGGGAGGCAGCAGUAGGGAAUCUUCGGCAAUGGACGGAAGUCUGACCGAGCAACGCCGCGUGAGUGAAGAAGGUUUUCGGAUCGUAAAGCUCUGUUGUAAGAGAAGAACGAGUGUGAGAGUGGAAAGUUCACACUGUGACGGUAUCUGACCAGAAAGGGACGGCUAACUACGUG